GCUUCACUAGCUCAGUUGGCAGAGCGUCAGUCUCAUAGCUACUUUUGGUUGUGCAAUCUGAAGGUCGACAGUUCGAACCUGCCGUGGAGCA
Molecule: transfer RNA, 91 nt
Filed under: Lizanozyma spartinae
Lineage: Eukaryota; Fungi; Ascomycota; Pichiomycetes; Serinales; Debaryomycetaceae
Description: Scheffersomyces spartinae tRNA
Rfam family: tRNA
About the family: Transfer RNA (tRNA) molecules are approximately 80 nucleotides in length. Their secondary structure includes four short double-helical elements and three loops (D, anti-codon, and T loops).
Source: Rfam by way of RNAcentral